AUCAAGGGAAAGAAAGAAUACUUUUCUUCAUUCCAUUGAGAUUCAAAACCAAGCGUGACAGCAAAGCAUUGCCAACUUUGCUUGCCUACCCUGCACUAAUGGCACAGCCUAAGACCAACCUUCACAAGCAUCUCUAUCUUUUAGCAUGCUUCUCCUUCAAAUAAACCCCAAAGCCAUGGAUUGCAAAUCAUCUCUGAAGCAGAAGUUCCAGAACAGGCUUUGUCUUAAACCAUGGAUUCUUUGGUCAAACAACUAAGGGGGAGAUUUUCUGGCAUACAACGCCAAAAUACAGAAGAGGCUGGCAGCAUCAGGGAUGCAAGAAUACCACCUCAACAGACUCAGAGUUUCAAAGAGAAGAAGAAAUCCCAGAACUGGUUCCAGAGACAGUUCAAUAGGCAAAUGAGUCAGGAUUAUGAUUCAAGCAAAAUAAUAGAGCAUGCAACCGCAGUGGCAGCUGCUACAUAUGCCAUCGCCACACUUGAAGAACCAGGCAUCCCAGAUCAGAAAAAGACAAGUGAACGCCCUGAAACCUCUUUUAUCAGAAGCAAGAGCAAAAAGGAGGAUACAACACGUUCAGCGCUAGAACCUGGUAGAGCAUCCAAGCGAUUCUCAGGUGAAACUUCAAUGAGACUUCCUGAAGGCAAAGAUACCAAGGUGCCAGAAACUGCUGCAGCAACUGGAAAGACACCCCAAAAACAAAAGUCCAUAGGGCCUGCGCCUUCAAUGAAAAAGACUCCAACUUUUGCUGAGCACUUGAAAAAAACUGACAGUAUACAACCUGAAAGUGCAGCACCAAAACCUGAUCUGCCUGCCACCAUUAAUCUAGAAAUGCCACCAACUGAAACUCAAAGGCAGAGUUCAAUGAGAGCUGAAAUCCCACCAACUGAAUCCAAAGGCCAGAGUCCAAUGAGAUUUAGAGCAGAAGAAACAGAAGCAGAAGUUUGGGAGAAAGCUGAGUUGGCUAAGAUCAAAGAACGGCACGAGAAGAUGAAUUCCACAAUACUUUCCUGGGAGGAAAAGAAGAAAGCAAAAGCCAGACGCCAACUAGAUAAGACAGAGAGUGAAGUGGAACGAAGAAGACUUAAAGCUUUAGAAAAAUUUGGCACUGAGAUGGAACAUAUUAACCAGGUUUCAAGAGGAGCAAAAACGCAGGCAGAAGAAAGGCGAAAGGAUGAAGAGUUAAAGGCAAAAGAAAAGGCAAACAUAAUUAGAACUACAGGGAAAGUUCCUAAGACAUGUCUCUGCUUAUGAAUUUAACCAGUUUACCUGGUUUUUCAGGGACAAAGGCAGUCUUUGAAGUUCAACAAAUUACCAAAUUCUUGCGAGGGAACUUUAAAUUUCCAUUGCAAACCAGCCGGAAUGACAUCAAGUGGCACCAUGGACAGGAAACGAAGUAUGGAAUCUUAAUUUGUUGAGUAGGGAAUUUCAAGACAGCCAAUUGAAGCCCUAGGACACAAUUCUUGCAGAGAGUGUGAACACACCAUAAGACAUAGGGCACAUUCUCAACGAUGUUGAAAGAUUCCCAGCAUAUUGGGCAUUCCAGUCCUUCGUCUCGGCUAGCAUUCGAACACACCUCAUCAUCUGAGCAGUCUUGAGAAGCUCGACUUGACUCUACUAAGUUUUUCCCUGACUUUUUCUUCAGUCCAAUACUUGCAAUGGCAUCUGAGGCAAAUUUCCACAUCGUGACAGAAGAAAAAGGUCUGAUUAGAUAAGAGCAUUAACUGCUAAAAAUGCAGAGUUUGACAUUCUCCUGUGAAAGACCCCUAUGCCAUGAAACUUAGCCUCAAAGAUUUCUAUCCAGGUUAAUUAUAAACAGCUCAUGUUGCUCACAUCAAACCUGUAAAUAGUCCAUAUUUACAAGGUCAAUAGCCCUCUAUGUAAUGUGAUAGUAAACUGUUAGAAACUGAAGUUAGAUUGAAGUAAGAUUGAUGAAGCAAUGCAAGUGUAUAGUUUCAAUUUUAUUAC
Molecule: RNA transcript, 1965 nt
Organism: Quercus lobata
Lineage: Eukaryota; Viridiplantae; Streptophyta; Magnoliopsida; Fagales; Fagaceae
Gene name: Remorin family protein
Exons: 7
Source: RefSeq, a predicted model, not a curated record